AGCGGUAGACAGCAUCUCCCAGAUCAAAUCCCCACUACUUUUGUGGCCCAUGUUUAACCCUGCAGCAACAAUGUCUUUGGCAUAUAAGCAAAAUCCAUGCUGCAGAAUUGUUGAUGCCAUCUGCAACUGCUCAUUANNNNNNNNNNNAGCUGGAUGCUUCUGAUUCCUCAGAAAAAACCAUUGGCAAUCCAAAAGAAUCCAGUGAUUGGCACUUAGUAUGCAAUAGUUCAGCUUCUGAAAUUAGAUUGC
This 249-nucleotide unclassified non-coding RNA is filed under the name Hevea brasiliensis (rubber tree). Lineage: Eukaryota; Viridiplantae; Streptophyta; Magnoliopsida; Malpighiales; Euphorbiaceae. The record is from RNAcentral.